AUUGGAGGGCAAGUCUGGUGCCAGCAGCCGCGGUAAUUCCAGCUCCAAUAGCGUAUAUUAAAGUUGUUGCGGUUAAAAAGCUCGUAGUUCGAGUUCAGUUUCGGACUGGGGUGGGAGGUCACCGCCCGGUGCUUGCCCCCUAGGCUCCGAACAGCUUCCUAUAGUGGAAGCCAAGUCGGUUUUGGCGGGGUGCUCUUUACCGAGUGUCCCGUGCGGCCGGCCAGUUCACCUUGAAUAAAUGAGAGUGCUCAAAGCAGGCUACUCUGGAAUACAAUGCCCGAAUUUUGGUUGCAUGGAAUGAUGGAAGAUGAUCUCGGUUCCAUUUUGUUGGUGGUGGGAGCCAGAGAUAAUGAUAAAGAGGGACUGUCGGGGGCAUCCGUACUACGACGCGAGAGGUGAAAUUCAGUGACCGUCGUAGGACGAACAACAGCGAAAGCAUUUGCCAAGAAUGUCUUCGUUGAUCAAGAACGAAAGUUAGAGGAUCGAAGGCGAUCAGAUACCGCCCUAGUUCUAACCCUAAACGAUGCUGACUAGCAAUUCGCCGUCGUUAUUCCCAUGACGUGGCGAGACGCCCCCGGGAAACCUCAAGUUUUUGAGUUCCGGGGGUAGUAUGGUUGCAAAAGUGAAACUUAAAGGAAUUGACGGAAGGGCACCACCA
This 658-nucleotide ribosomal RNA is filed under the name Macrobrachium sintangense. Its description in RNAcentral is "bacterial SSU rRNA". It matches the Rfam family "Eukaryotic small subunit ribosomal RNA", at positions 547 to 1172 of the family's 1831-position model. The record is from RNAcentral. Lineage: Eukaryota; Metazoa; Arthropoda; Malacostraca; Decapoda; Palaemonidae.